UGGGGAAUAUUGGACAAUGGAGGAAACUCUGAUCCAGCAAUUCUGUGUGUGUGAAGAAGGUUUUAGGACUGUAAAACACUUUUAGUUGGGAAGAAAAAAAUGACGGUACCUACAGAAGAAGCAACGGCUAAAUACGUGCCAGCAGCCGCGGUAAUACGUAUGUUGCGAGCGUUAUCCGGAAUUAUUGGGCUUAAAGGGCAUCUAGGCGGUAAGACAAGUUGAAGGUGAAAACCUGUGGCUCAACCAUAGGCUUGCCUACAAAACUGUUGAACUAGAGUACUGGAAAGGUGGGUGGAACUACACGAGUAGAGGUGAAAUUCGUAGAUAUGUGUAGGAAUGCCGAUGAUGAAGAUAACUCACUGGACAGAAACUGACGCUGAAGUGCGAAAGCUAGGGGAGCAAACAGG
RNAcentral lists this ribosomal RNA (407 nucleotides) under Verrucomicrobiota bacterium. RNAcentral's name for it is "Verrucomicrobia bacterium partial 16S ribosomal RNA". It matches the Rfam family "Bacterial small subunit ribosomal RNA", at positions 355 to 776 of the family's 1533-position model. Lineage: Bacteria; Pseudomonadati; Verrucomicrobiota. The record is from RNAcentral.